GACGUUCAAUUCGUCCUACCUUUAAUACCUAUUCUUUAUAGUCAUCUAAAACACUCAAACAAAACAUAAAAACAAAUCUCCUUAUACUACACCACCUUAACAAUAUACAAUAACUAACAGUACCGCAAGGGACACGAAAAAAUUUAUAAUAAGCCAAAAUAACCUUUUGUACUUCUCGCAUCACGGCUUAGCAAAAAAUAAACUAACAGAUCUAUCCCGAAACCGUGUGAGCUGAGUUAGCUUUGCUCUCUGCGCCCAGCAGUUUAUGUUGCAACAUAUUUGCAAAAAGCUAAUCCAGUGGCUACAUACCUCCCGCACACGGUGAUAGCUGGUUUUCUGUAAACUCUGCAUUAGCAGAACUUAAAGGAUCUCCUAACCUUUUCUUUUCAAAUAUGGAGGCUAAGCUCCAUUUUUUAAUCUAUUUUUAAUAAACAAGCAACCCUAAUCUAAGUAGGCCCUAAAGCAGCCACCUUAUUAUCAACGCGUUAUUGCAGCAAACAACGCUCAACCGCAUAAAUAUCUUACCUAAAAAUGAAAAAACUAACAGAAAACUUUCCGAAACUAAACCUCACGGAAUUACUAUUCUGCUAAGAUCAGUACCCCUCCGCUAUUAUAGACUUCAUACAUAACAAGAACACAUUCACUUAUAAAGUCCUAUAAACUACAAAAUACUAGGAAGGAACUCGGCAAAAAUGAGCUCCGACUGUUUACCAAAAACACUGCCUCACGAAAACAAAAAUGAGAGGUCCAUCCUGCCCAGUGACCUACGGGUUAAACGGCCGCGGUACCCUGACCGUGCUAAGGUAGCGUGAUAAUUCGCCCUUUAAUUGUGGGCUCGUAUGAAAGGACAAACGAGAGCUCAGCUGUCUCCCUAGUAGAACAGGAAAUUGUUAUUCAGGUGAAGAAACCUGAAUUUAAAUAAAGGACAAAAAGACCCCAUAGAGCUUUGUUGAACUCCUUACUAACUAAGAAGUAUGCCUACAUUCUUAGUUAGCAAGGUAACAACUUAACUGGGGCGGUUAAGGAAAAUCUUAAACUUCCAUCUCUAGCUCUCUAUGCAAACCAAGGCAAAUACAAGCCAAUACUAAUUUGACCCUUACUUUAAAGAUCAAAGGAUUAGCUACCUUGGGGAUAACAGAUUCAUCCCCCUUAAGAGUCCGCAUUGACAGGGGGGCUUGACACCUCGAUGUUGGCUUAGGGUAUCCAGAAGGUCAGCAGCAGCCUUCAAUGGUAGGUUUGUUCAACCUUUAAAACCCUACAUGAGCUGAGUUCAGACCGGCGUAAGCUAGGUCAGCUUCUAUCCUUAUUUAACUAACACACUUCUAGAUGUUACAAUUGUACGAAAGGACCUUGUUUCAGAACUUCAUUCAUAACACCGAAACCAAUACAGUCAAUCAACUUAUUACUAAUACCGGAACAAAACCACAAGCAGGUUGG
RNAcentral lists this ribosomal RNA (1437 nucleotides) under Paralvinella palmiformis. RNAcentral describes it as "16S ribosomal RNA". It matches the Rfam family "Bacterial large subunit ribosomal RNA", at positions 578 to 2785 of the family's 2925-position model. Lineage: Eukaryota; Metazoa; Annelida; Polychaeta; Terebellida; Alvinellidae. The record is from RNAcentral.